ACAAUGCGGGACUAUCAGUCUUGCAAUUGGAUUGAGAACAAUGUACAACUCUUAUCGAUAAGCCAUUGGAGGGCAAGUCUGGUGCCAGCAGCCGCGGUAAUUCCAGCUCCAAUAGCGUAUAUUAACGUUGUUGCAGUUAAAAAGCUCGUAGUUGAAGUGUGGGUGAUCGCUGUUGUGAGACUUCGGUCUCUCGACAGUAAGUCACCCCCUUCCAGUAUCCAGUAGUGGGUAUUCAGUUACUUACUAUUGUGUGUUGGUCAUUUACUGUGAGAAAAUUAGAGUGUUCAAAGCAGGCGUUUGCUUGAAUAGAUUAGCAUGGAAUAAUAAUUGAAGGCUUUCGUGUUCGAUUUGAUUGGUUUGUUCAUGGAAGCAAGGUUAAAAGGAACAGUUGGGGGUAUUCAUAUUCAC
This 408-nucleotide ribosomal RNA is filed under the name Blastocystis sp. RNAcentral describes it as "SSU rRNA". It matches the Rfam family "Eukaryotic small subunit ribosomal RNA", at positions 477 to 901 of the family's 1831-position model. Lineage: Eukaryota; Bigyra; Opalinata; Blastocystidae. The record is from RNAcentral.